AAUAUCCCAGUUCCUUUCCAUUCCAGUAGGAGCAGAGUGAGAAGCAAGCAGGACAGUGUUUUCUGUAGCACAUGGAUGGAUAUCCGUAACAAGAGCCAGCCAGGGAGGCGGAUAGAAUGUGCUGUUGCCUCUUGAAUUUCAAGCCACCUACUUAUCUCUGAGCAGUAGUGCUGGAAGGUGAGGAGAAGUAGCUAGUACAGAUCUUAGCCACACACCACUCAAACCCCUUGUGCUAGCCAUUUAAUAUCUGGAUUUGUUUGUGAUUUUAUCAGUGCUUUCCUAAUCUGUCUUCCUUUGUAAAGGUCUGCCUAUUUGCAUCAUUCAAUCUUGUUCAUUUUUCAACAGAUAUAGAGAGCAGACAAGCAGGGAAAGUUAGCAUGCUCCUCCUAAUGAAAGCCACUUGAGAGUAUGAACAAUAGAGAAACAAGGCAAUUGGUGAAUGCCCCCUAUUUGAAGGCCUGUGUGAGAAGGGAAAACAAGCUGCAGAAGUCAGUGCAGUCAGGGAGAAAGAGAAUAAAUCAGCCAAUUUCAAGUCAGUAUCUACAGGAGGGAGCAAAUAGCAUCAAAACCAGAAUUAUACCAAGCUGAGUCAAAUUGUCUGCCGACUGCAAAAGAGGAAAGUAAGUCCACUGAGCACCAAGUUGAAAGAGACAAGCCAAGGGCAGAGUCAGAGGCUGGAAGCUGUCCAAAGAAGACAGGAAAAUGAAUGAAGCACAGCAGGAAGGUCCAGGGAGCAAGAAAGCAGGAAGAAGAAAUUCAGCCGAAGUAGAGAGGAGGAGAACAGGAGGCAGGCAGGGACAUCAACAUCCAAGAUACUCUAGAGAAGAUAUUCCCUACUUGCAAGAACCUCUAGUACAGGAAGUUAGAUCAGCACUCCGGUCAUUACCAAAUCAGAAGGCUACAGGAAUUGAUGGAAUAGCUACAGAGAUAUGGCAAGCAACAGAAGAAGGAUCAGUCAAGGCUCUAACCAAAUUAUGCCAGCAAAUUUGGAGAAUGACACAGUGGCCAACAGAUUGGAAGAGGUCAGUCUACAUACCCAUACCCAAGAAAGGAGACUUAACAGAUUGUGCAAACCAUCACAAAAUAUCCUUAAUUUCACAUGCUAGCAAAAUAAUGCUCAGGAUCAUUCAAUGCAGAUUAGAGCUCUAUGUGGAAAGGGAAAAGCCAGAUAUUCAAGCUGGUUUCAGAAAAGACCAAGGAACAAGAAACAUCAUUGCUGAUUCAUGCUAGAUAAUUGAGAAAGCCAAAGAAUACCAAAAAGAAGUCAAUAUGUGCUUUAUUGACUACAGAAAAGCCUUUGAUUGCAUCAACCUUGUCAAGUUGUAGAAUAUCCUUAGGAAAAUGGGCAUCCAAGAACAUUUCACUAUUCUCAUGAGAAACCUAUACACAGGACAGGAAGCCACAGUCCACACAGAACAUGGUGAAACAGACUGGUUCCAGAUCGGCAAAGGAGUAAAACAAGGCAGUAUACUUUCUCCGUAUUUAUUCAAUUUAUAUGCUGACCAAAUACUGAGAGAAGCUGGAUUGGAAGAAGAUGAGCAUGGUUUUAAAGUGGGAGGAAGAAACAUCAAUAACUUGCACUACGCUGAUGACACCAGUCUGAUAGCUGAGAAUGCGGAUUAUCUGCAAGCUCUAGUAAUGAAAGUCAAGGAGCACAGUGAAAAAAUGGGACUACAAUUAAAUGUAAAGAAGACUAAAAUACUGACAACGGGUACAGCAACCAGCCUCAGAAUUGAUAAUGAAGACAUUGAAGUGGUGGAUAGCUUCUGCCUUUUAGGAUUGACUGUCAACAGUAAAGGAUCCAGCAGUCAAGAAAUAUGCUGCAGACUAGCACUUGGUAGGGUUGCAAUGAAGGCCUUGGAAAGGAUAUUUAGAUGCCAUGACAUGACUAUACCUACAAAGAUCAGAAUCGUCCGGAAAGUGGUUUUUCCCAUGACACUCUAUGGAUGUGAAAGCUGGACUUUGAAAAAGUAAGAUAGAAAAAGUAUUGACGCUUUUGAACUUUGGUGCUGGAGAAGACUUUUGAGGAUACCAUGGACAGCCUAGAAAACAAACAAAUGGGUCAUAGAACAAAUCAAUCCAGAAUUUUCACUCUAGGCACAAAUGACCAGGCUCAAACAAUCAUACGUCAGAUGUUCAUAAUGCUGGGAAAAGUUGAAGGAAAUAGAAGAAGAGUACGACCAACAGCAAGGUGGAUGGACUCGGUUAUGAUAACAAUGAAUGCACCACUGAGAGACAUUAAAGGCCAAGUUGAAGACAGAUCAUCCUGGAGAGAAUCUAUCUGUGUGUUGCUGAGAGUUGACACUGACUUGAUGGCACUUAGUCAAUCAAUUGUUUAGGUAUUAUUCAGGUCGUUGUGAUGCUGAGUUAAAUGCAUGACAUUCUUAUCUAAAUGUAUAACAUUCUUAUCUGGUGAACAUUUUUAAAGGCCUUGUUUUAGACUCUGCCUUACUUAAAUGUGAAACAGAAAAAAG
This is a long non-coding RNA of Hemicordylus capensis (graceful crag lizard), 2474 nucleotides long. RefSeq lists it as uncharacterized. The transcript has 4 exons. NCBI's taxonomy places the organism in Eukaryota, Metazoa, Chordata, Lepidosauria, Squamata, Cordylidae. The record is from RefSeq and is a predicted model, not a curated record.